Molecule: ribosomal RNA, 467 nt
Filed under: uncultured bacterium
Lineage: Bacteria
Description: partial 16S ribosomal RNA
Rfam family: Bacterial small subunit ribosomal RNA
Source: RNAcentral
GACGAACGCUGGCGGCGUGCUUAACACAUGCAAGUCGAACGGAAAGGCCCUGCUUUUGUGGGGUGCUCGAGUGGCGAACGGGUGAGUAACACGUGUGUAACCUGCCCUUGACUUUGGGAUAACUUCUGGAAACUGCGGCUAAUACCGCCUAGGAGCUCCUGCUGCAUGGUGGGGGUUGGAAAGUUUCGGCGGUUGGGGAUGGACUCGCGGCUAAUCAGCUUGUUGGUGGGGUAGUGGCUUACCAAGGCUUUGACGGGUAGCCGGCCUGGGAGGGUGACCGGCCACAUGGGGACUGAGAUACGGCCCAGACUCCUACGGGAGGCAGCAGUGGGGAAUAUUGCACAAUGGGCGGAAGCCUGAUGCAGCAACGCCGCGUGCGGGAGGACGGCCUUCGGGUUGUAAACCGCUUUCGCCUGUGACGAAGCGUGAGUGACGGUAAUGGGGAAAGAAGCACCAGCUAACUACGU